AAUUGGAAGUAAAAGUCGUAACAAGGUUUCCGUAGGUGAACCUGCGGAAGGAUCAUUACCACACCUAAAAAACUUUCCACGUGAACCGUAUCAACCCUUUUAGUUGGGGGUCUUGUACCCUAUCAUGGCGAAUGUUUGGACUUCGGUCCGGGCGAGUAGCUUUUUGUUUUAAACCCAUUUCACAAUUCUGAUUAUACUGUGGGGACGAAAGUCUCUGCUUUUAACUAGAUAGCAACUUUCAGCAGUGGAUGUCUAGGCUCGCACAUCGAUGAAGAACGCUGCGAACUGCGAUACGUAAUGCGAAUUGCAGGAUUCAGUGAGUCAUCGAAAUUUUGAACGCAUAUUGCACUUCCGGGUUAGUCCUGGGAGUAUGCCUGUAUCAGUGUCCGUACAUCAAACUUGGCUUUCUUCCUUCCGUGUAGUCGGUGGAGGAUGUGCCAGAUGUGAAGUGUCUUGCGUGUUGUCCUUCGGGUCGACUGCGAGUCCUUUUAAAUGUACUGAACUGUACUUCUCUUUGCUCGAAAAGCGUGGUGUUGCUGGUUGUGGAGGCUGCCUGCGUGGCCAGUCGGCGACCGGUUUGUCUGCUGCGGCGUUUWAAGGAGGAGUGUUCGAUUCGCGGUAUGGUUGGCUUCGGCUGAACAGGCGCUUAUUGAAUGCUUUUCCUGCUGUGGCGUGAUGGGCUGGUGAACCGUAGCUGUGUUUGGCUUGGCUUUUGAAUCGGYUUUGCUGUUGCGAAGUAGAGUGGCGGCUUCGGCUGUCGAGGGUCGAUCCAUUUUGGGAAUUUUGUGUGCACUUCGGUGCGCAUCUCAAUUGGACCUGAUAUCAGGCAAGAUUACCCGCUGAACUUAAGCAUAUCAAUAAGCGGAGGAACC
This 872-nucleotide unclassified non-coding RNA is filed under the name Phytophthora capsici. RNAcentral's name for it is "sequence contains 18S rRNA gene, ITS1, 5.8S rRNA gene, ITS2". The stretch from base 234 to 388 matches the Rfam family "5.8S ribosomal RNA". Lineage: Eukaryota; Oomycota; Peronosporomycetes; Peronosporales; Peronosporaceae. The record is from RNAcentral.